RNAcentral lists this ribosomal RNA (474 nucleotides) under uncultured bacterium. RNAcentral describes it as "SSU rRNA". It matches the Rfam family "Bacterial small subunit ribosomal RNA", at positions 26 to 518 of the family's 1533-position model. The record is from RNAcentral.
AGGACGAACGCUGGCGGCGUGCUUAACACAUGCAAGUCGAACGGUAAGGCCUUUCGGGGUACACGAGUGGCGAACGGGUGAGUAACACGUGGGUGAUCUGCCCUGCACUUUGGGAUAAGCCUGGGAAACUGGGUCUAAUACCGAAUAUGACCAUUGGUUGCAUGACUGGUGGUGGAAAGCUUUUGCGGUGUGGGAUGGGCCCGCGGCCUAUCAGCUUGUUGGUGGGGUUAAGGCCUACCAAGGCGACGACGGGUAGCCGGCCUGAGAGGGUGUCCGGCCACACUGGGACUGAGAUACGGCCCAGAUUCCUACGGGAGGCAGCAGUGGGGAAUAUUGCACAAUGGGCGCAAGCCUGAUGCAGCGACGCCGCGUGAGGGACGACGGCCUUCGGGUUGUAAACCUCUUUCAGUAGGACGAAGCGCAAGUGACGGUACCUACAGAAGAAGGACCGGCCAACUACGCGCCAGCAGCCGC